AUUGAACGCUGGCGGCAUGCUUUACACAUGCAAGUCGAACGGCAGCGCGGGCUUCGGCCUGGCGGCGAGUGGCGAACGGGUGAGUAAUACAUCGGAACGUGCCCAGUCGUGGGGGAUAGCUCGGCGAAAGCCGGAUUAAUACCGCAUACGACCUGAGGGUGAAAGCGGGGGAUCUUCGGACCUCGCGCUAUUGGAGCGGCCGAUGGCCGAUUAGCUAGUUGGUGGGGUAAAGGCCUACCAAGGCGACGAUCUGUAGCUGGUCUGAGAGGACGACCAGCCACACUGGGACUGAGACACGGCCCAGACUCCUACGGGAGGCAGCAGUGGGGAAUUUUGGACAAUGGGCGAAAGCCUGAUCCAGCAAUGCCGCGUGUGGGAUGAAGGCCUUCGGGUUGUAAAGCACUUUUGGCGGGAACGAAAAGGACUGUGCCAAUACCACGGUUCGAUGACGGUACCCGCAGAAUAAGCACCGGCUAACUACGUG
This 484-nucleotide ribosomal RNA is filed under the name uncultured bacterium. RNAcentral's name for it is "partial 16S ribosomal RNA". It matches the Rfam family "Bacterial small subunit ribosomal RNA", at positions 29 to 507 of the family's 1533-position model. The record is from RNAcentral.